This 253-nucleotide ribosomal RNA is filed under the name uncultured bacterium. RNAcentral's name for it is "partial 16S ribosomal RNA". It matches the Rfam family "Bacterial small subunit ribosomal RNA", at positions 524 to 776 of the family's 1533-position model. The record is from RNAcentral.
UACGAAGGGGGCUAGCGUUGCUCGGAAUCACUGGGCGUAAAGCGCACGUAGGCGGAUUUCUAAGUCAGGGGUGAAAUCCUGGAGCUCAACUCCAGAACUGCCUUUGAUACUGGGGAUCUCGAGUCCGGAAGAGGUGAGUGGAACUGCGAGUGUAGAGGUGAAAUUCGUAGAUAUUCGCGAGAACACCAGUGGCGAAGGCGGCUCACUGGUCCGGUACUGACGCUGAGGUGCGAAAGCGUGGGGAGCAAACAGG